GAUGAACGCCGGCGGUGUGCCUAAUACAUGCAAGUCGAACGCGUUGGCCCAACUGAUUGAACGUGCUUGCACGGACUUGACGUUGGUUUACCAGCGAGUGGCGGACGGGUGAGUAACACGUAGGUAACCUGCCCCAAAGCGGGGGAUAACAUUUGGAAACAGAUGCUAAUACCGCAUAACAAUUUGAAUCGCAUGAUUCAAAUUUAAAAGAUGGCUUCGGCUAUCACUUUGGGAUGGACCUGCGGCGCAUUAGCUUGUUGGUAGGGUAACGGCCUACCAAGGCUGUGAUGCGUAGCCGAGUUGAGAGACUGAUCGGCCACAAUGGAACUGAGACACGGUCCAUACUCCUACGGGAGGCAGCAGUAGGGAAUCUUCCACAAUGGGCGCAAGCCUGAUGGAGCAACACCGCGUGAGUGAAGAAGGGUUUCGGCUCGUAAAGCUCUGUUGUUAGAGAAGAACGUGCGUGAGAGCAACUGUUCACGCAGUGACGGUAUCUAACCAGAAAGUCACGGCUAACUACGUGCCAGCAGCCGCGGUAAUACGUAGGUGGCAAGCGUUAUCCGGAUUUAUUGGGCGUAAAGCGAGCGCAGGCGGUUUGAUAAGUCUGAUGUGAAAGCCUUUGGCUUAACCAAAGAAGUGCAUCGGAAACUGUCAGACUUGAGUGCAGAAGAGGACAGUGGAACUCCAUGUGUAGCGGUGGAAUGCGUAGAUAUAUGGAAGAACACCAGUGGCGAAGGCGGCUGUCUGGUC
Molecule: ribosomal RNA, 750 nt
Filed under: uncultured Bacilli bacterium
Lineage: Bacteria; Bacillati; Bacillota; Bacilli
Description: bacterial SSU rRNA
Rfam family: Bacterial small subunit ribosomal RNA
Source: RNAcentral